Molecule: ribosomal RNA, 437 nt
Filed under: uncultured Bacteroidales bacterium
Lineage: Bacteria; Pseudomonadati; Bacteroidota; Bacteroidia; Bacteroidales
Description: bacterial SSU rRNA
Rfam family: Bacterial small subunit ribosomal RNA
Source: RNAcentral
UGGCGACCGGCGCACGGGUGAGUAACACGUAUCCAACCUGCCGUCUACUCUUGGACAGCCUUCUGAAAGGAAGAUUAAUACAAGAUGGCAUCAUGAGUCCGCAUGUUCACAUGAUUAAAGGUAUUCCGGUAGACGAUGGGGAUGCGUUCCAUUAGAUAGUAGGCGGGGUAACGGCCCACCUAGUCUUCGAUGGAUAGGGGUUCUGAGAGGAAGGUCCCCCACAUUGGAACUGAGACACGGUCCAAACUCCUACGGGAGGCAGCAGUGAGGAAUAUUGGUCAAUGGGCGAGAGCCUGAACCAGCCAAGUAGCGUGAAGGAUGACUGCCCUAUGGGUUGUAAACUUCUUUUAUAAAGGAAUAAAGUCGGGUAUGCAUACCCGUUUGCAUGUACUUUAUGAAUAAGGAUCGGCUAACUCCGUGCCAGCAGCCGCGGUAAU